AUAUUUCAGAACUAAGUCUAGUUCCAUCCAUAUCAAUGUAAUCUAUUACAUUGAUAUGGAUGGAACUAGAUUCAGUUCUGAAAUAU
This is a non-coding RNA of Paramuricea clavata, 86 nucleotides long. The record is from the annotation of a GenBank genome assembly. Lineage: Eukaryota; Metazoa; Cnidaria; Anthozoa; Malacalcyonacea; Plexauridae.